RNAcentral lists this ribosomal RNA (255 nucleotides) under uncultured bacterium. RNAcentral describes it as "partial 16S ribosomal RNA". It matches the Rfam family "Bacterial small subunit ribosomal RNA", at positions 524 to 777 of the family's 1533-position model. The record is from RNAcentral.
UACGGAGGGUGCAAGCGUUAUCCGGAUUCACUGGGUUUAAAGGGUGCGUAGGUGGGUCUGUAAGUCAGUGGUGAAAUCUCCGAGCUUAACUCGGAAACUGCCAUUGAUACUAUAGGUCUUGAAUUAUCUGGAGGUAAGCGGAAUAUGUCAUGUAGCGGUGAAAUGCUUAGAUAUGACAUAGAACACCAAUUGCGAAGGCAGCUUACUACGGAUUGAUUGACACUGAGGCACGAAAGCGUGGGGAGUCAAACAGGA